UGUUGUUGGAGAUCAACAGAGGAGGUAAUAGAAAUACAUUUUGAAGCCAUGGGACUCAAUGGGGUGUCAACUGGGAUUAUGCUUGUAUGUUAGCAACGAGCUAAAGUCAAAUAUUAAGCAUCUUGAAGGCGACAAGGGAUUUGUGGAAGCUUUAUGGGUAGAUAUCAACUU
This is a long non-coding RNA of Spea bombifrons (plains spadefoot toad), 171 nucleotides long. RefSeq lists it as uncharacterized. NCBI's taxonomy places the organism in Eukaryota, Metazoa, Chordata, Amphibia, Anura, Pelobatidae. The transcript is spliced from 2 exons. The record is from RefSeq and is a predicted model, not a curated record.